This 27-nucleotide small RNA is filed under the name Bombyx mori (domestic silkworm). Its description in RNAcentral is "ovarian small RNA-4123". The record is from RNAcentral. Lineage: Eukaryota; Metazoa; Arthropoda; Insecta; Lepidoptera; Bombycidae.
UUGAGGAGUUGGAGUACGCCCUCUGUA